Molecule: long non-coding RNA, 359 nt
Filed under: Cyanistes caeruleus (blue tit)
Lineage: Eukaryota; Metazoa; Chordata; Aves; Passeriformes; Paridae
Description: lncRNA (ENSCCEG00000013346.1)
Source: RNAcentral
GUGGCAUUGGUCAAGUCCAGGCAGCUGACCCUCCCAGAGCUGCAAACAGAUGGCUAAUGACAGCCUAGGACAUCCAACCAGCUCUGACAAUUUGUCACAUUUCCAAGCUGUGGUGACAAGUAGUCCCCUGACACCUGCUGCAGCUCUCAUUUGAAAUCCUGAAUGUUACUGAUAAUCUCAACUAAGUACUUUGCACAGGAGCCCCAAAUUUCACCCUACAGACAGAUCCCUUCGCUGUCUAAUAAACUAACCAGAAACCUCUACUGCCAGCUCCUAAGGUCAGCUCUGGGUCAGGCUGCACUUGAGGUUUCGUGAAGCUCAGAAGACACUGGUGGCAUUUCUUCCUGAUGAUAUUCAAG